This 1437-nucleotide ribosomal RNA is filed under the name metagenome. RNAcentral's name for it is "SSU rRNA". It matches the Rfam family "Eukaryotic small subunit ribosomal RNA", at positions 371 to 1801 of the family's 1831-position model. The record is from RNAcentral.
CAGGGUUCGAUUCCGGAGAAGGAGCUUGAGAAUUGGCUACUACAUCUAAGGAAGGCAGCAGGCGCGCAAAUUACCCAAUCCCGAUUCGGGGAGGUAGUGACAAAAAAUAACAAUACCGGGCCUUUUUGGGCUUGGUAAUUGGAAUGAGGGAGAGUUAAACGGACCAUCGAGUAUCCAUUGGAGGGCAAGUCUGGUGCCAGCAGCUGCGGUAAUACCAGCUCCAAUAGCGUAUAUUAAAGUUGUUGCAGUUAAAAAGCUCGUAGUUGGACUUGUGUGCGCUGUCCGCGGGUGGCCUGCGCCCAAAAGGGCGUUUCGGUUCGGCCCCGGUGGCGCCUUGAAAUCUGCAGCUGGGGGGACGUUGGCCUUAACUGGUCGGCGACCGCACGCCGGCUGCUCGGUUACUGUGAGAAAAUUAGAGUGUUCAAGGCAGGCAUUGGGUGCAAUUAAAUACAUUAGCAUGGAAUAAUAAAAUAUGGCUCCUGCCGUAUUUUGUUGGUUUUGACUGGUGGGAGUAAUGAUUGAUAGGGACGGUUGGGGGUGCUAGUAUUGAGCGGCCAGAGGUGAAAUUCAUGGAUUCGCUCAAGACUAACUUAUGCGAAAGCAUUCACCAAGGACGUCCUCUUUAAUCAAGAACGAAAGUUGGGGGAUCGAAGACGAUCAGAUACCGUCGUAGUCUCAACCAUAAACUAUGUCGACUUGGGAUCGGCGGUAGUUUUUUCGUUAAGACACUGUCGGGACCACGGGAGAAAUCAAAGUGUCUGGACUCUGGGGGAAGUAUGGUCGCAAGGCUGAAACUUGAAGGAAUUGACGGAAGGGCACCACCAGGAGUGGAGCCUGCGGCUUAAUUUGACACAACACGGGGAAACUUACCAGGUCCAGAGAUGUAGAGGAUUGACAGAUUGAAGCUCUUUCUUGAUCACUUCGGUGGUGGUGCAUGGCCGUUCUUAGUUGGUGGAGUGAUUUGUCCGGUUAAUUCCGUUAACGAACGAGACCUCAGCCUGCUAGUGUAGUCGGCUGGAUUGCCUUUGGCGAUCCGUGAUUUCGACUUCUUAGAGGGACAAUCGACGCGCAGUCGAUGGAAGUUUGAGGCAAUAACAGGUCUGUGAUGCCCUUAGAUGUUCUGGGCCGCACGCGCGCUACACUGCUGGGCUCAGCGAGUUUUACUUGGCCGAGAGGCCCGGUUAAUCUUGUGAAAUCCCAGCGUGCUUGGGCUCGCCUCCUGCAACUGGAGGCGCCAACGAGGAAUUCCUAGUAGACGCAGGUCAUCAACCUGCAUCGAUUACGUCCCUGCCCUUUGUACACACCGCCCGUCGUUCCAUAAGAGUGAGGCAUCCGGUGAAUUCUCGGGAGAGCCUGGGCGUGGCCAGCAAUGGUCUGCUCGGGUUUGAACUUGCAUAAACUUGGUGCCUAUGAUUAGGGAAAAGUCGUAACAAGGUU